CAGCCGCCGCGGUAAUACGUAGGUGGCAAGCGUUGUCCGGAAUUAUUGGGCGUAAAGGGCUCGCAGGCGGUUUCUUAAGUCUGAUGUGAAAGCCCCCGGCUCAACCGGGGAGGGUCAUUGGAAACUGGGAAACUUGAGUGCAGAAGAGGAGAGUGGAAUUCCACGUGUAGCGGUGAAAUGCGUAGAGAUGUGGAGGAACACCAAUGGCGAAGGCGACUCUCUGGUCUGUAACUGACGCUGAGGAGCGAAAGCGUGGGGAGCGAACAGGAUUAGAUACCCCUGUGUCCCUGUCUCUUAUACC
RNAcentral lists this ribosomal RNA (301 nucleotides) under uncultured bacterium. RNAcentral describes it as "partial 16S ribosomal RNA". It matches the Rfam family "Bacterial small subunit ribosomal RNA", at positions 509 to 808 of the family's 1533-position model. The record is from RNAcentral.